This 1843-nucleotide long non-coding RNA is filed under the name Gallus gallus (chicken). Lineage: Eukaryota; Metazoa; Chordata; Aves; Galliformes; Phasianidae. The record is from RNAcentral.
CUCAUUUCUUUUGGGGUUUUACCAUGGUUUUGUACAUCAUUUCUUAAAAGGCCACCACUACCUCCUGGUUUGUCUUUCCUUGUAUCUAAACACUGACUUGUUCAAUGAAUCGCAUGACAAGGCAAUGGGAGUUCAAGGCAAUGGGAGUUCAGGCUGAAUGCAGGCUACUGGACAGGCAAUUACAGUGUAAUGCUUCACAUAAAAUACUAUUUAUUUGUUUUACUUUUUCCUGAGCAAAGAUGAACCAGGCGAUUUUCAUUCCUCUGAGAGUGAUUUUGAUUAUGAUUUGAAGCACUCUUCUCAGACACAAUAAAGUGCAAUAAACAGUUCUGAUAUGUUGCCUAGACUGGAGGAAUUGCCUUUGUCUCCAUUUUUAUAGAUUUUGAUCACCUCCAUAUAACAAAGAGAUACCGCCAAACAUCCCUGAUUCUGAAAGGGAUAAAAAUGGCCUUGUUGAGCUCAGAAGGGCAAUGCUAUACUCCAACAGAUAUUACAUCUCCAAAGACUGAAGGGAUAAACACGAAUAUAAAAGAAAUGCACAUUCACAUAUCCCAGCACUGGUAGGUGCAAGUGUCAGUUUGAGCCCAUUCCAAAUAUCCAUGUGCAUGGACAUUUAUCGGGGGGAUCAGGUGAAAGUCUGGACAGGUCUGUUCCUGUAAAUUUAGAGAACAUCUACUAUCAAAUUUGUCUCAUUAUAUAUCUCUUGUAGUUUCCACGACAGUUGCUGAAACAAAUGACAAAUAUUGAUUUCUACAAAGGGAAAGAUUACAGUCUGAAAUGUGACCUGUGUAAGGGAAGAGGAGGUAAUUUGAAAAGGGGGUAACAUGUUACCCCUAAAGAAUGGCUUGCAAGUGCUCAGGGUCUGAGCUCCACUGGGAACUUGAGGAGCUGCCUGGAGUCCUUGUCUGGAGGAGGACCAGUGCACGGCAGGGCAGUUUGCAAAAGUUUUUCAUAGAUAAUGAUGAAGGCACCCUGAAAGAAGAACCUGGGAAAUGGCCCAUCUGAAUAUGUAAUGCCUCCUGAAUCGUGUAGGAGGAGGGAGGAGCCCCAUGCAUAGGAAGCUGUGCACGGCAGCGGUUGGUUGGCAGCUUUCAUUUUCUGGAGCAUUGAAUAGUGGCCAUUCCACAUGCAGAGGCUGUGUGCUGUGUGGAAGUCUUCAACAGCCUGCACAGAAUCGGCAAAGUCCUCUGACAACAUAUGUCAGACAGUUCUUUCAGUUCUUCAGGCCUACAGAGUCUAAGAAUAUGCUCAUUAUUUCAACAUGAAAGCUGCAUUUUACACUCUUUUGGGAAGAAGGUUUUAAAUUGUGCCAUUUUCUGCCAGUGAAGCAUUUACAGAUGACUUGCAAAAUAAGCUCACGGGCAUCUUUUGGAUCUGUCUACUGUGCUGUAAGAAACAUGCCAUAGCUGCUACGUAAAUUACUAAGUUAUUUUCUUCUAACGUCAAAGGUUAGACGUUAAUAUCUCAGUAAAGUUGUUAGAAAGCAAUGAAAGACUGUUAAGGGAAAGACCUUGCUUCAACUUUAUCACAGUUAGCUGAAUAUUCAUAAACUUAUAAUUUGGGAGUAAAAAAAUUGUUUUAGGUUCAAAGUUUGUAGAUAGAUAAAAUGUGAGCACUGAUGUAAAUUCUGUGUAACAGUAUAUUCUUGCAAAGUAUAUUUCUUUCUGGGUCUUGCUUAGAUUAUAAAGAUAGAAAGGACUUGAAUCAGGACAGUAUCUGAACACAGAAGAAUAAGGUAAAUCUUAUUCAGGACAGUACUGUGCUGCAUGCUGCUGACCUCCUCUUCAGAAUUCACACAGUUGGAGGAAUAUCAGACUUGUUUAAAAGUCAGGAUUUUAAACCU